RNAcentral lists this long non-coding RNA (208 nucleotides) under Salvia miltiorrhiza (redroot sage). RNAcentral's name for it is "long non-coding RNA (SMIL_LNC014246)". Lineage: Eukaryota; Viridiplantae; Streptophyta; Magnoliopsida; Lamiales; Lamiaceae. The record is from RNAcentral.
GAACAGUUCGUCAACACAUAAAAUCCAUUUCUUCCAUUCAAUAAUUCAUAAAGUUCUCUAAAAGUCAGAAGCAUUCAAUAUACAUAUAAUUAAGAAGAGAAGAUCAAUCAUUAGUCAUGUACUCAAUGAUAAUAGCCUCGUGAUCGCAACGGUGAUGUCGUAAUAGACUCGUCCCCAGGAAUUCUUACCCUUUGUGCUUAACGACAAC